Pomacea canaliculata is the source of this 1193-nucleotide long non-coding RNA. RefSeq lists it as uncharacterized. NCBI's taxonomy places the organism in Eukaryota, Metazoa, Mollusca, Gastropoda, Architaenioglossa, Ampullariidae. The transcript is spliced from 4 exons. The record is from RefSeq and is a predicted model, not a curated record.
AUGUGAAAAAGGACUAGCAUUAUGGGAAAGGGUGUUAGGAGGAAUGCUUACAGAAGAGGUGCUACAUAACAAAUGGAAGAAUAACUUGUGUACAAUGUCUUUUUUCCAAAUGUUGGCAGUGUACUGUUAAAAUGAAUCGUUGUGGAAGGUUAUAUCCGAGUAUGCAGUCAGUAUAACAUGUUCUGCUGAUGUAGUCUCACGCACAUACUGUGAUCAUUGGAGUGUGGAUGUGUAGACUAAUAUCUUAUCAACCAUGACGACAGUCAGAGCAUCAACAAGUCCACUUGCAGCAUAUGUACAGACUAGGGACAGAAAAUGCUGUAAAAUGCUUGUUUUGCAUUCUGUAAACAGCUGCAUUGUAACACAUGACGACCAUUGUCAGAUCAUACAUAAUGCAGUAAAUAAUAAAUUUCAAUAUAUUUGAGUUGUUUCUAGAAUUAUCAAUGACAAGAAUAGUACAGCCGACCAUUAUAAAUGUUUCUGACGAAUAUUGCAGGAUUAAAUAACAUUUGUAAAAAAAACAAAAAACAACAAAAAAACAACAAAAAAAGCAAAGAAACUAAAUGUAUUUAUAUAACCAACACAUCUGCCUCGAAACUAACAAUGUGCCGAUCUUUCCUCAAGCUCCAAAAGAAAAUCGUGAAUUCCCGAACGAGUAGACCAGUGGGAAACGGAAGGACUUCUCCACUGUCUAAUACUUUAGACAUUACCAAUCAGUCAAUUAAAAUAGAAGCAGAAGGUUCCAUGAAAAGAUACAGACUCAAAUUGUUGACACAUGUUUUUUGGAAAGACUUAUUGAACUAAGACGCCUGAUCUCGCCGGUCAUUGGUGCUGAAGGGCAGACGAAGCUGGAGGUUCAGAAGGUCGCAGAUCGUUGUUUUGGGUUCAGGUCAUCUGAUGCGAGUCAGUGUUUCAACAUCCUGCAGCGUUGUUCUGUAGCAGACCAAGAGAUCAGGACAAUCCAGGCAAUCUCUAUUCCCGAACAAGGAAGAGAGAUACACACCAGUCCACGCUAUCAUUUGCAGGUCAGCCAUUACAAUUUAACUUCGAGCCAGUUAUUAGAGACAGAAGCUGGCUUGUUGGGGAGCAGCUCAGAGUGUUUUGCCUUCCAGCAGGAGUACUCCCGACAUGCUGACGUGUGCACUGAUGAGAUAAAGCUUUCAUGAUAAUAGUCUUGCAAUGACUGAGUACCC